RNAcentral lists this ribosomal RNA (373 nucleotides) under uncultured organism. RNAcentral describes it as "partial 16S ribosomal RNA". It matches the Rfam family "Bacterial small subunit ribosomal RNA", at positions 527 to 896 of the family's 1533-position model. The record is from RNAcentral.
GUAGGUGGCAAGCGUUGUCCGGAAUUAUUGGGCGUAAAGCGCGCGCAGGCGGUUCUUUAAGUCUGAUGUGAAAGCCCACGGCUCAACCGUGGAGGGUCAUUGGAAACUGGAGAACUUGAGUACAGAAGAGGAAAGCGGAAUUCCACGUGUAGCGGUGAAAUGCGUAGAGAUGUGGAGGAACACCAGUGGCGAAGGCGGCUUUCUGGUCUGUAACUGACGCUGAGGCGCGAAAGCGUGGGGAGCAAACAGGAUUAGAUACCCUGGUAGUCCACGCCGUAAACGAUGAGUGCUAAGUGUUAGGGGGUUUCCGCCCCCCUUAGUGCUGCGGCUAACGCAUUAAGCACUCCGCCUGGGGAGUACGGCCGCAAGGCUG